CGCGGGGUGGAGCAGUUUGGUAGCUCGUAGGGCUCAUAACCAGAAGGUCGCAGGUUCAACACCUGCCCCCGCUA
This 74-nucleotide transfer RNA is filed under the name Calditrichia bacterium. Its description in RNAcentral is "Calditrichae bacterium (marine sediment metagenome) tRNA-Met". It matches the Rfam family "tRNA". Rfam says of the family: Transfer RNA (tRNA) molecules are approximately 80 nucleotides in length. Their secondary structure includes four short double-helical elements and three loops (D, anti-codon, and T loops). Lineage: Bacteria; Pseudomonadati; Calditrichota; Calditrichia. The record is from RNAcentral.